ACCUGGGAGACUGCUGGUAAAGAUGGGAGGUGGCCUUUGCCGCUUUCCAUCUUCUCACUGCAGUUUCUUCACGUGGGCCACUUGUACUUAAAAUGUCUUCUUAAUUUAUUCUUUUUACUUCCCCAGCUCCAAUUUGUCUACAGAUUUACAAAUUUGUUUUAUAGUUUUAUGACUCAAUUUGUAUUUUCGGUCCUAUGAAGCUUUUUGCCUUAAAUAUUUUUCUCUGUUUAUAAGAAUGUGCUGUUUCCUAGGCCAGUUUUGUACACACUCUUCCAUAGAAUAGAUCCAGAAGAAACACAACAAUACUGCCUUCAUCAUAUCAGGAGAUCUUGAUACCAAAUACGAGUGUUGCCUCCAAGAUGCAAGAUCCUGAGGGCUCCAAAGAAUCCACUGUCCGUCACAAAUCGACGGUCCGCCAGCUCAGUUUCAGAGACGUGGUGCUCCGCUGCAGGCCUCAUCCUCAGGUGCACCCUGGCAGUCAGCCAUCUGAAGGAGGGUGGCCCAGCAGCAGCUCAGCCUGUGCUCUCACCCACCUCCUCUGCACACACCAGUCCUCGUCCUCAGCACCCAAGGCUGCCAGAGGUCCUUCAGCAGCUCCCGUGGCUGACAGUGACUCUACGUUUCCUAGAUUUCAGGGACCACCUGGAGGGGAGCGGACCAGAGAGACUUCCUCGGAAUAGGCUGUGGCUCUUCACAAGGUGUCUUCUAUGCUUUAUUUGGGAGCCAUUGCCUUGAGCGUUAUUUCCCAGAUGGUUUUCUAAUGUCACCAACUGAAGAAAAGACCCAUGCACACAGGACACAGCAUGAUCUGAUGCUCACAGCGUUUUCCUUCCUCUCUGAAAACGGACUCAGCGAUUCUGGCAAGCGGUACUUACUCUGAGAUCACCCGUUUGCUAAGGAAAAAUCUUAGUACUGAGAAAGGUGACACUUUCCUCCCUGCUUUUGCUGGAGAGACACUUUGGUUAUGAGUUAUUUCUAGCAUAACACAGUUUAUUUCAGAAGUCCAGCUCAAUAGCAGACCAAGGCAUGAACAACACAUGAAAAUUUAUGUUGGGAAAAUAUAUAUUGUAUGUCUGCUUGAA
Long non-coding RNA from Homo sapiens (human), 1082 nucleotides. Ensembl annotates it as long intergenic non-protein coding RNA 1120. NCBI's taxonomy places the organism in Eukaryota, Metazoa, Chordata, Mammalia, Primates, Hominidae. The record is from Ensembl.